AAGGAAGGAGCGCAUUGGUAGAGCUCCCGCUUCAUACGGGGGAAGACCUGGGUUCGAUUCCCGGCUGCUUUC
Molecule: transfer RNA, 72 nt
Organism: Toxocara canis (dog roundworm)
Lineage: Eukaryota; Metazoa; Nematoda; Chromadorea; Rhabditida; Toxocaridae
Rfam family: tRNA
About the family: Transfer RNA (tRNA) molecules are approximately 80 nucleotides in length. Their secondary structure includes four short double-helical elements and three loops (D, anti-codon, and T loops).
Source: Rfam